UCCCAGACGGGGCAGCUGGCCGGGCGGA
This 28-nucleotide non-coding RNA is filed under the name Homo sapiens (human). Lineage: Eukaryota; Metazoa; Chordata; Mammalia; Primates; Hominidae. The record is from RNAcentral.